Molecule: unclassified non-coding RNA, 182 nt
Filed under: uncultured fungus
Lineage: Eukaryota; Fungi
Description: sequence contains ITS1, 5.8S rRNA gene
Source: RNAcentral
ACGAGUUCAAUUGGUUUUUAAAGCUGAUCAACUCCCACCCUAUGUUUAAUCAAAGUUGUACUUUGACGUUUUGUUCUUGGCAACUGUCGAUAAUCAGAUAAUGAUAUGGACAUAUAAACGUCAGAGGAUUUCUUUUAGCACUUGAGAAAUUUGAUGUGUCAGUACAAAAUUUUACAAAAUUA